RNAcentral lists this ribosomal RNA (494 nucleotides) under uncultured bacterium. Its description in RNAcentral is "partial 16S ribosomal RNA". It matches the Rfam family "Bacterial small subunit ribosomal RNA", at positions 28 to 507 of the family's 1533-position model. The record is from RNAcentral.
GACGAACGCUGGCGGCGUGCUUAACACAUGCAAGUCGAACGGUGAAGCGCCUUCCUUUUUGGUGGGUGUGGAUGAGUGGCGAACGGGUGAGUAACACGUGAGUAACCUGCCCCCUUCUUCUGGAUAACCGCAUGAAAGUGUGGCUAAUACGGGAUAUUCUGGGUCUGUCGCAUGAUGGGUCUGGGAAAGAUAUUGUUUCGGUGGGGGAUGGGCUCGCGGCCUUUCAGCUUGUUGGUGGGGUGAUGGCCUACCAAGGCGGUGACGGGUAGCCGGCCUGAGAGGGUGGACGGUCACACUGGGACUGAGACACGGCACAGACUCCUACGGGAGGCAGCAGUGGGGAAUAUUGCACAAUGGGCGCAAGCCUGAUGCAGCGACGCCGCGUGAGGGAUGGAGGCCUUCGGGUUGUGAACCUCUUUCGCCAGUGAAGCAGGCCUGCCUCGUUUGUGGGUGGGUUGACGGUAGCUGGAGAAGAAGCGCCGGCUAACUACGUG